Long non-coding RNA from Triticum aestivum (bread wheat), 1437 nucleotides. RefSeq lists it as uncharacterized. NCBI's taxonomy places the organism in Eukaryota, Viridiplantae, Streptophyta, Magnoliopsida, Poales, Poaceae. The record is from RefSeq and is a predicted model, not a curated record. The transcript is spliced from 7 exons.
CAAGUUAGAAAACAUCUGGGCCCAAGCCUGUCGAGCGCCGCCCGUACGCCGCACCCGCAGCUACGCACUCGAGGCCGAGCUCCCGAGCGCGCCGCCGCCUCCACUUUGCGACCCGCCGGCGACCGGAUCCUCGCCGGAGAUGAGUGCCGCCGUGCCCUGCUCCCUCCUCUCUUCCUCUGUCUCCUCUCACCUCGCUCAUCCCCCGAUCUCUCUGUCCCCAGGACGAACAGGAGCAUGCUAUGGCCUCGGAUCCGCGCCGCCGUCGUCGGAGAACGUCGUCCGCCACCGGUUCUUCGACCACAACUACCGGAUCAAGUUGCCCCGCCUCCGAUCUACCCGUUCCCGGCCACCCCAACCUCGCCUCGUCGUCGGGCGCGCAGAGAGACGGCCAUGGCCGCCCGAUUCCCGAGCGCCGCCUGCCAAGGUGGCUGCCCGAUGCACGAGCGCCGCCGGCCAAGGACCCGCCGGCGUCCAGACCCCCUCCACGCCAUCCCCAUCUCGCCGGAGACCUGCUCCAAGUCUGGCCGCCCUCCAAACAGUACGCGGAGACAGAGGCCAAGGAUGACAGGCAACUCUUGGAGGAGGACACCUCAAAUCAGUCUGGGAAGUUGUCGUCGUUUUCCUCGGGCAGCAAUGCAAAUUAUUGUAAUGAUACUUAUCAACGUUUUUAUUUGGUUGUGCAGUACUCGCUAGGUGCUUGACGAAAUUCCCAUAUGAUGCAUGUGGCAAGGUUCCUAGAGGAUAAUGUAGAUUAAUGAUUCCAUGGAGAGCUCCCAGAAUCUUCAAUUGGAGGCAAUUAAAGACGGACCUCACCGGAUUGGAUUUGUCUAGCAUUCCAGCUAAGUUUCAAGGUAGCUUUAGGACUCCAUCCAAACAAUCACUGAUUAGUGGGUAGUAGGCAUGCAGUUUCAGUUAAACCGAAGCUUAAUCCACAUACAUUGUUCACUGGAGGUAUCCGUGCCAUUACACUCAUCCCUCUGUUAUGAGGCCUGGGAUAAUGUUUACUUGUGAUUCACAAAAUGGAAGUAUGUGCUAUAUCUUUGUAUGAAAUUAAGGAAACAUGUCACGUUCAUUGUCGCCUGGUUUAUGGUAACUGGUGUUGCCCCCUCCCUUGGAAUCUCUCAGAUCUAUGGCAUAGCCAGUUCUCCAUCCCGCAGUUUUCGCAUGUUGCAACGCAGUGGCUCUUUUGUAGGACCAUUGUCGACAUAGACAAGUUCUGCUUCAAGGACGAGACAUAGAAGAAGGCUCGACAAGAGGAAGGAAGCAGGUGUGGUUUAGCAACGUACCUCAUACAUGUUUGGUUGCUGACAAAGGAGGGCAGAAUUGGUGUGACGCCCCGAGACCGAUGUGCCAGCUUGCAGGUGCCGAUGAUGCCAUUCCAGGUGACGCAACCAAGCUCAAGGAGGAGCUCGAUGAAGACCUUGUCCUUUGUGUUGU